This 74-nucleotide transfer RNA is filed under the name Chloroflexota bacterium. RNAcentral's name for it is "tRNA-Gly". It matches the Rfam family "tRNA". From Rfam's summary of the family: Transfer RNA (tRNA) molecules are approximately 80 nucleotides in length. Their secondary structure includes four short double-helical elements and three loops (D, anti-codon, and T loops). The record is from RNAcentral. Lineage: Bacteria; Bacillati; Chloroflexota.
GCGGCUGUAGCUCAGAUGGAUAGAGCGGUUCCGCGCCAAGGAUCAGGUCGUAGGUUCAAGUCCUACCAGCUGCA